GUGAUAAACGCGUGGGAAACGUGCCCCAAGGUUACGGAACAACCUCCGUGGAAACUGGAGCUAAUACCUGUAUGUGUCCCGAGAGGGGAAAGAGCUUAUCGCCUUGGGAUCGGCCCGCGUCUUGAUUAGCUAUGAUUGGAUAGGGUAAGUGGACCUACCAAGGCUACGAUCAGUAGCUGGUCUGAUGAGGAUGGCCAGCCACACUGGGACUGAGACACGGUCCAGACUCAAACGGGAGGCAGCAGUGGGGAAUAUUGGACAAUGGGCGAAAGCCUGAUCCAGCCAUGCCGCGUGAGUGAUGAAGGCCUUAGGGUUGUAAAGCUCUUUCGGCGGGGACGAUAAUGACGGUACCCGCAGAAGAAGCCCCGGCUAACUUCGUGCCAGCCGCCGCGG
This 393-nucleotide ribosomal RNA is filed under the name uncultured bacterium. RNAcentral describes it as "bacterial SSU rRNA". It matches the Rfam family "Bacterial small subunit ribosomal RNA", at positions 106 to 520 of the family's 1533-position model. The record is from RNAcentral.